RNAcentral lists this ribosomal RNA (394 nucleotides) under uncultured bacterium. RNAcentral describes it as "bacterial SSU rRNA". It matches the Rfam family "Bacterial small subunit ribosomal RNA", at positions 618 to 1011 of the family's 1533-position model. The record is from RNAcentral.
AGACUGCGUUUGAAACUGAUUAUCUUGAGUGUAACAGAGGAGAGUGGAAUUCCUAGUGUAGUGGUGAAAUACGUAGAUAUUAGGAAGAACACCAGUGGCGAAGGCGACUCUCUGGGUUAACACUGACGCUGAGGUACGAAAGCUGGGGGAGCGAACGGGAUUAGAUACCCCGGUAGUCCCAGCCGUAAACGAUGGAUACUANGUGUUGGAGGUUCGAAUCCUUCAGUGCCGGAGUUAACGCAUUAAGUAUCCCGCCUGGGGAUUACGAUCGCAAGAUUGAAACUCAAAGGAAUUGACGGGGGCCCGCACAAGCGGUGGAGCAUGUGGUUUAAUUCGAAGCAACGCGAAGAACCUUACCGAGAAUUGACAUCCCGUGACCAUCUAUGAAAGUAGA